This 254-nucleotide ribosomal RNA is filed under the name uncultured bacterium. Its description in RNAcentral is "partial 16S ribosomal RNA". It matches the Rfam family "Bacterial small subunit ribosomal RNA", at positions 524 to 776 of the family's 1533-position model. The record is from RNAcentral.
UACGUAGGGACCAAGCGUUGUUCGGAUUUACUGGGCGUAAAGGGCGCGUAGGCGGCGUGACAAGUCACUUGUGAAAUCUCCGGGCUUAACUCGGAACGGUCAAGUGAUACUGUUGUGCUAGAGUACAGAAAGGGCAAUCGGAAUUCUUGGUGUAGCGGUGAAAUGCGUAGAUAUCAAGAGGAACACCUGAGGCGAAGGCGGGUUGCUAGGCUGACACUGACGCUGAGUGCGCGAAAGCCAGGGGAGCAAACGGG